Molecule: long non-coding RNA, 2520 nt
Organism: Rosa rugosa (rugosa rose)
Lineage: Eukaryota; Viridiplantae; Streptophyta; Magnoliopsida; Rosales; Rosaceae
Exons: 4
Source: RefSeq, a predicted model, not a curated record
CAACACUACAACAAAAUGGGCUAUAGGACACCAAUUUUGGGCACUCUUCUGAAUUGGUCUGUAUGUUGAAUAGUUUUGCACCGUUUAAUUUGAUCGGUGACUUGUAAUGAAGAUGCCACUGACAGUCGGUGGCCCAAUGCUCACAUUUGAUUAAAUUAUUCAUUAUUGGUAUGUUUGGUUACAAAUAUUUACGGGUUUGCCCCCAGUUUUCAUCCCUUGAUCAGCAAAAGCAUGGGUCUUCGUUUUUUGGUCAGAUGAAAAGAAUGGGUGAUGGCAGGAAAUCCAAAAUUUGUUCCAAAAUUAUCGUUUGUUUAUUGUGUAUUUGAAACCCACCCAAUAUCCACAACACACAGUCACUCGAUCACUUUACCAAAAAAUGACCUGGCUCUCUCGGAAUGAGAUUGGAAGGCUGAAUCUUCUCAGAGACGUCGUCCAUAUUUGGCCUCUAUAACCUCGGUCACCGGGGUGGACUCCUCUACAAACCACCAUCCGUUGCUGUGAUCAUGGCUAGAGGGCUGUUGAAGAUAUUGAUCUGAGCAUGAUGAUCUCAGAAUUUUCGGGGGUUUCCGACACCCAAGAGGUCUGAAAUUAUUGUAAGUUCCAAUUUUCAUUAGAUUACAGUGAUCAUGGCUAGAGGACUGUUGAAGAUAUCUAAGAUAUUAUUGUAAGUUCCAAUUUUCACUUUAUCCAACCUAAUUAAUUGAAUUCUGCUUGUAAUUUAUCAAUAAACCCUUGAUUUAGGUGGCUUACUGGAUAUGCUACCAAUUGAUCUUUGAAAAAUGGUCUCUUGUUAUUCAUAGUUGCUGACUGAGUAAGCAAAAGAAUCCUUUUUUAUAGUUUGAUUCUGAUUUAGUUAUGUAUUUGGGCACUACCUAAGAUUAGUACGGUGCUUCAAGACUUGGUUGCUUUCAAUUCUGUAAAGUAUCAUAUAUGUACUUACUAUUUGAUUUUUCUUAUCAAAAAUUUGGUUUUGUAGGAACAAUUAAGGUCUGAUAGUCAGUGUCAGGCAUAAACUUAAUGCUUUUUGCCUUUAUCAUGGUUCUUUUAGGUUUCUGCUGCAUUGUAAGUUAUGCAACAAUGGUAGUUCUGAUUUGGUAGUCAUGUUCUCUGUUUCAAUAUUUCACUCUUGGAUUCUAGGACUUUCUUUUUGUUUGCUUAUAUUAUUGUUCUUCUCUUCUUUAUCGCUAGCAUGUUGGUUAGUACGUUCUGUAUCCUAUCGUAUCUUUUCUUACAUGUUUUUGUGCUUCCAGUUUGUCAUCCUUAGUUUAUUUGGAUGGCUAGGUAUGUUUCAGUGGGAAGGUUUCAAAGUUCUUCUGACUUGAAGUCUUGACUAGUGAGCAUCUGUAAAUUAUGAGUGAUUUCUCUUUGUUACAAACCCAAAUGCAAUGCAUUUUAUAUUCAAAUAAAUACUACUUGUAUUAUAUUCCAUUAGUGUGAGAAACCAUACAAAAAGCAGUCUUCAUAGCUCUUUGUUUAUUGUACUUCCUGCAGCGAGUGAGAAACUAAUCAAGGAGAAGACAUGCUAUUACUUUAUUUUUGAAGUGGUGUAUCUCAGGAUUGUUACAUUUCAUUUGGGUUGGCAGGAUGAUUGCCGGUUCUCAUAACCUGAAUAUUUUCUUUUCAGUUAUUGAAGCAAAAUUUAAAGUAAAUUCCUUUCUUAUGAAUAUAUACUUUAGACUUUUGCAGUGAAAUAGCAUAACUUGUUAUAUUCUUUAUAUAGAAUCUAAAUGCUUGUUGAUGGUUCUUUUUAGUUUAUAUAUGAUAAAGUGGUAUGCCGUAACCUAUUUACAUUUGCGACUUCAAUGACAGGCCUUGUGGUAACUAUUUUCUUUUUCUUAUCUGGUUACUUUUGCCUGAUCUGUUCAACAAGGCUCUUCACCAUACUGGUUUUGGUUCUAUCAGCUCAUUGUAUUCCAUUGAAGAUAUGUCUCAGCCUCAUUAAUUAAUUCACUCCAUGUAAUUGAUUUUGUUGCUCAUAUCAUCGAGAAGGAAAUAUUGUUUCCAAUGCCAUUGACAUUUGCGGAUGGGAUCAAGGUGUUUUAGGAAUUUCUAAACAAGUAGCUGCAAGGUUAAGAAAGCUCCUAGCUGGGCGGAAGUUGAAGUGAUAAGACGAAUUGGAGAAGGAAAUACUGAAUGUUAGGGUUAACAUCAGAAGCUACAUGAGAGCUAAGCUAAGUAUUAUUGUUCUUCUUUCUGUUUUGAUUCCUUCAGAACACACAUGUUCCCUGAGAACUAAAUUAGGUAGCUUUGCUUUCUAUUCUUCUACAGUUUCAAGUAUGAAGAGGCAUCUUGACGAGAAGACGUCGGUCGACAUGUUAAACAAGUCAUUUUCCAUUGUGCAGUUAUGACAACUAUGGAAUACAAGCAAAGUCUCUCAUAAGUGUUUUUAGAGGUUUUUCAUUUGCUGUGUAAUUGCUGUAAUAUGAUUAUACAAUCCAAAACAUGGGGCAGGCCAGGGGAAAAAUGAAAAUUUAUAAAAUAAAUGCUUGAUUUUGGUGCCAAUUAAACUGGCGCAACAAA